This 73-nucleotide transfer RNA is filed under the name Stegodyphus mimosarum. It matches the Rfam family "tRNA". From Rfam's summary of the family: Transfer RNA (tRNA) molecules are approximately 80 nucleotides in length. Lineage: Eukaryota; Metazoa; Arthropoda; Arachnida; Araneae; Eresidae. The record is from Rfam by way of RNAcentral.
GCCUUCGUGGUGUAGUGGUUAGUACACUCGACACAUAUGCGAGAGGUCCGAGGUUCGAGUCCCGGCGUGGGCG